AGUUAUCGUUUAUUUGAUAGCACCUUGCUACUUGGGUAACCGUGGUAAUUCUAGAGCUAAUACAUGCUGAAAAUCCCGACUCCGGAAGGGAUGUGUUUAUUAGAUCCAAAGCCAACGCCCCCCGGGCUCACUGGUGAUUCAUGAUAACCGCUCGAAUCGCACGGCCUUGCGCCGGCGAUGGUUCAUUCAAAUUUCUUCCCUAUCAACUUUCGAUGUUUGGGUAGUGGCCAAACAUGGUUGCAACGGGUAACGGAGGGUUAGGGCUCGACCCCGGAGAAGGAGCCUGAGAGACGGCUACUACAUCCAAGGAAGGCAGCAGGCGCGCAAAUUACCCAAUCCCGACGCGGGGAGGUAGUGACAAUAAAUACCGAUAUAGGGCUCUUUCGGGUCUUAUAAUUGGAAUGAGUACAAUUUAAAUCCCUUAACGAGGAACAAUUGGAGGGCAAGUCUGGUGCCAGCAGCCGCGGUAAUUCCAGCUCCAAUAGCGUAUAUUAAAGUUGUUGUGGUUAAAAAGCCCGUAGUUGAACCUUGGGCCUGGCUGGCCGGUCCGCCUCACCGCGUGCACUGGUCCGGCCGGGCCUUUCCCCCCGCGGAACCCCAUGCCCUUCGCUGGGCGUGGCGGGGAAACGGGACGUUUACUUUGAAAAAAUUAGAGUGCUCCAGGCAGGCCUAUGCUCGAAUACAUUAGCAUGGAAUAAUGGAAUAGGACGCGCGGUUCUAUUUUGUUGGUUUCUAGGACCGCCGUAAUGAUUGAUAGGGACAGUCGGGGGCGUCAGUAUUCAACCGUCAGAGGUGAAAUUCUUGGACCGGUUGAAGACUAACUACUGCGAAAGCAUUCGCCAAGGAUGUUUUCAUUAAUCAGGGACGAAAGCUAGGGGAUCGAAGACGAUCAGAUACCGUCGUAGUCUUAGCCAUAAACUAUGCCGACUAGGGAUCGGGCGAUGUUAUCCUU
RNAcentral lists this ribosomal RNA (952 nucleotides) under Ophiocordyceps unilateralis. RNAcentral's name for it is "SSU rRNA". It matches the Rfam family "Eukaryotic small subunit ribosomal RNA", at positions 108 to 1070 of the family's 1831-position model. Lineage: Eukaryota; Fungi; Ascomycota; Sordariomycetes; Hypocreales; Ophiocordycipitaceae. The record is from RNAcentral.